UCAAUUUUAAUCAAAUUAAACUAAAAACAACAAUUUUUUUAUUUAUUUUGAUUUGGUGAAUGUUUUAAUGAUUCGAGUGCCCAAAGAUUCCAUGAUAGCUUGACUUUCCCUCAUUUGGUAUAAUAAAGCAAUGAUAAACACUUAUUACAUCAUAUAGAUCUGGUUCGGCUGAUUAUAUGGAAAUACUUGUCCUAAAUUUGCUGACUAAAACCAAAGCCAAAAAUUGAAUAUGGAAAAACUUAAACUGGAGCGAAGCAAAAACAAUUAGGAAACAAAAUAAGGACUUGGAAUUAUUUUACUUCAAGCAAAGCAAAAAUUUAUGAAGAAAUGUUUCAACCAUUUUUAUGGAUCUUCAAAGGCAAACGAUAAAAACAUUAUUGAACUCAAAGAGUGAAAUAUCAAGCUUAUUUGACCUGAUUAGUGUCACGAGAUCUCUGUAAAGACAUUUUAAAACAAAAGCUGUUCCAUCUCUUCGAUUUCUUAGAAGUCGAAAAUGUCUUCCUGUUCUCUUUACCUUAACCUGUUUUACAUUUUUUUGGCUUUAAAAUAUCUCCUUUGAUCAACUGUAAACUACAAUCACAUUGGAAAUUAAUUAUAUAAUAAGCCUCGUGGUGGUGCUCUGAAAGUUGGAUAAGUCUAUGAUGAAUGAAAUAAAAUCAACGGUUACCCUAAACAAAUGUAAACAAUUAUUUGGCUCCGAGACAAAACACAUUUUUAAUUUCAUGGAUUAUUCAAUUAAUUGCCUUUUGUUUACUCGUCAAGGAUCAUUGCGACUCUCAGGCGAGUCACAGUUUGAAAAUAAAAUUGAUUACGGCUGUUAUUCAUCUUCCACCAAUUUCUUAAUCAUCAGCCAGUUACUCUUUUCAUCUGUAAUGCUGUUAUAACUACAAAAGAGUUAACAUUUGCUCAUCAAAUCUAGAUUGUCAUCAUCAGUCUCAAGUUACGAUUUAACUUAGCUGUGCUAAUUUUCAAAGACCUUGAUGUUUUUCUUGGAUAAGUUGGAAUCCUUCUCCUUGCCGAUUUCUUUCCAAGAGAAUAAGACAAUUUAAAGAUUGAUCACAUUUAUGAUUUACUAUCAAUUGUUGUCUUUUUGCGGAGUUCACAUCCUUUUGACAAACACCUAUGAAAAGGUUGAAUUAAAGCUGAACACAAUAAGAAGCAAAACAUUUUAUUAUGGAUAAACUGUUUUUAUUUUCAACCGACUUGUUACAUUUUUCAUACUCAAGUCAACUUUCAAAUGGAUCGCAACAAUUCAAUGAGCUGGUGGAAAAGGUGUUUAAUGUAAUAUUUAGCUGAUUAAAUUCCCGUUGAUGGCUGUAAUCGAGAAAAUUCAACUCUUGAUAGGACUUUUGGUUCUUUUGGUGGACGUUCCUUCGGCCAAAGCAUGAAGACAUUAGAUACAAAAAAUAACAACAAUCAAAACAAUCAAUACAAUUUACCUUGGGCCAGACAGGUUUCCAUCUUGAUCUUUUCCUUUCCAUGGACUCGCAGCAAUUAACAUGUUUAUAACAAAAAUCAUCAACUUUAAUGUUCAUUCUGUCAAAAACUGGUGAAACGUUUAAACCCAAACCGUAAACAGUCACAAAUGAAACUAACCUAUUUUUGUGGCUAUGAAUUUUUGCAAAAGCUUACAAUUGAAUCGACAAGCUCAUUGUAAAACUAAAACUAAGCUAUUCACAAUGAAACAACAAAAGGAGCUGAAAAAGAUUAAAAUCAGGUUAAUUUGGUUUCAAUCCUUGACAAUUUUCCAAUGACAAGUAAUGGCUAAUACAAGUGGAUGAGCUGAUUAACCUGUUAUUAAAGCCAUCAGUAGCCAAAGUUUAAAACAAUCUUCUGUAUUAAACAAUAUCAUCGGAGCAUCCUCAGCCUUCUUCAGCAUCUUUAUCCUCAUCCUUGUUCAUUUUUUCAAGCAAUCAAUAGGCGAACUUGCGCAACUAUACUAAAUACCUGAAUCCAUCAUCAGAAGUGAAGUCAUUGAAACACCAAGAGAACCAUUUUUGUUAUUUGUGAUUUCUUUCAUUAGUCAAUUAAAUUGUCAUCUAAAUUGUUGUUGUAAAUCUGUUGAAAUCAUUGAUUUGUGAUUGCCAGUCAAUAGUGAUGAAGAUCAAGAAUGAGUCUAAAGGGAUUCACCAACGCAUUGUUACAAAUUCAUCCUCAAAAGCUCAUCUAACCUCAUCAACAUCAUCCUCAUCAUACUCGUCUGUCAAAGGAGAUGAUUUUGAAAUAAAAAGGCGAAUCAUUGCUGAUGAUGAUUAUGGUGAAAGAAACGAUGAUCACAACAAUAGAUCAACAUAUUCAUCAAACUCACCAACCUAUGAAAAUAACCAUUCAAAGCAACAGUCAACCUGCUCUUUUCAAGGUAAAAAAAGCUGUUCAACUUCCGAUACGCUCAUUGGAUUUAUACCUUUAAUCCUUUUGGUUGCCAUUUUGUCCUGCUUUGUGUUUGGCGUUUUCACCAUAAUCAAACUAGCAAUUAACCAUGCUUACAAAGAGGAUUACGAUUAGGCCAUUUCCAUGAUUGAUUAGGAUUGAAAGUUUGUCCAACAAUUUAAAUAAAGAAAGAAAAGAUGAAACCAAUUUCAAUGUCAAUUUAAAAUUUUAUUAUCAACUUUAAGAUGAUGGCGGCUUGGACACCUUUUUAAAUCAUAAUUAUGCAAAAGGAGAGAGAGAAAUAAAUUGAUUUUUAUAAAUCAAUUGAAAAUUAAGUAUCGAAAAGCCGUUGACAAAAAAUGACUCGAAUGAACAUUGUGCUCAAUCAGGUUGUUUGUACGAACAUAAUUGUUAUAAUUAACCUCAAACUCAAUCAGUUUUACAGCAAAAUUCAUUGCCUUCAAUGAAAUUGAAUGAGAGUGAAAAGAUGAAAAAAACAGGAAAAAAAGUUGUAAAAGCAAAGGUAAGGUUAAGUAGCUUUGAUUUUUAGUCAAUUAAUUAAUAAUUAAAACAAUUUUGGUUUUGGUAA
Molecule: long non-coding RNA, 2959 nt
Organism: Tetranychus urticae (two-spotted spider mite)
Lineage: Eukaryota; Metazoa; Arthropoda; Arachnida; Trombidiformes; Tetranychidae
Source: RefSeq, a predicted model, not a curated record